UACGUAGGGGGCGAGCGUUGUCCGGAUUUAUUGGGCGUAAAGCGCUCGCAGGUGGUCCGUCGCGUCGUGCGUGAAAGACCCCGGCUCAACUGGGGAGGGUCGUGCGAUACGGGCGGACUGGAGGCCAGUAGGGGGAUGCGGAAUUCCGGGUGUAGUGGUGGAAUGCGUAGAGAUCCGGAGGAACACCAGCGGCGAAGGCGGCAUCCUGGACUGGUCCUGACACUCAGGAGCGAAAGCGUGGGGAGCGAGUCCGG
This 254-nucleotide ribosomal RNA is filed under the name uncultured bacterium. RNAcentral describes it as "partial 16S ribosomal RNA". It matches the Rfam family "Bacterial small subunit ribosomal RNA", at positions 524 to 777 of the family's 1533-position model. The record is from RNAcentral.